UACGUAGGAGACGAGCGUUGUCCGGAGUUACUGGGCGUAAAGGGUGCGCAGGCGGCCUGGCGCGUCGCGAGUGAAAUCUCCCGGCUCAACUGGGAGGGUGGUCGCGAGACGGCUAGGCUUGAGGCUCGGUGAGGGGCGUGGAAUUCCGGGUGGAGCGGUGAAAUGCGUAGAGAUCCGGAGGAACACCGACGGCGUAGGCAGCGCCCUAGACGAGACCUGACGCUCAGGCACGAAAGCGCGGGGAGCGAACAGG
This 253-nucleotide ribosomal RNA is filed under the name uncultured bacterium. RNAcentral's name for it is "partial 16S ribosomal RNA". It matches the Rfam family "Bacterial small subunit ribosomal RNA", at positions 524 to 776 of the family's 1533-position model. The record is from RNAcentral.